GUACGUGCAAGAUUGUAGGUACAUGCAAGAACAUUCCUGAACAUAUUCUUUGAUAUAACUGGGUGUGUAUUGGGUAGAUAGAUCGAUGUUGAAAUUUCCUCAAAAAAGGCCCAAAAGGUUGCAAAAGCAACGGAAGUGAAAAGGUUGUCCAACCUUGCAUGAAAAUGAUGUGUCUUUUGUAUUAUAUUUUAUUUGUAAAUGAUGAACAUGG
Molecule: long non-coding RNA, 211 nt
Filed under: Setaria viridis
Lineage: Eukaryota; Viridiplantae; Streptophyta; Magnoliopsida; Poales; Poaceae
Description: long non-coding RNA (SVIR_LNC008647)
Source: RNAcentral